This 73-nucleotide transfer RNA is filed under the name Mustela putorius furo (domestic ferret). It matches the Rfam family "tRNA". From Rfam's summary of the family: Transfer RNA (tRNA) molecules are approximately 80 nucleotides in length. RNAcentral also lists the same sequence under 2 other names. Lineage: Eukaryota; Metazoa; Chordata; Mammalia; Carnivora; Mustelidae. The record is from Rfam by way of RNAcentral.
GCCUGGCUGGCUCAGUCAAUAGAGCAUGUGACUCUUGAUCUUGAAGUUGUGAGUUCAAGCCCUACGUUGGACA